This 482-nucleotide ribosomal RNA is filed under the name uncultured Glomus. Its description in RNAcentral is "SSU rRNA". It matches the Rfam family "Eukaryotic small subunit ribosomal RNA", at positions 569 to 1056 of the family's 1831-position model. Lineage: Eukaryota; Fungi; Glomeromycota; Glomeromycetes; Glomerales; Glomeraceae. The record is from RNAcentral.
AGCAGCCGCGGUAAUUCCAGCUCCAAUAGCGUAUAUUAAAGUUGUUGCAGUUAAAAAGCUCGUAGUUGAAUUUCGAGAUCAAAUUGUUGGUCGUGCCUUGGUACGCACUGGCAUUAUUGGUUUCUCCCUUCUGACGAACCAUGAUGUCAUUAAUUUGGUGUCUUGGGGAAUCAGGACUGUUACUUUGAAAAAAUUAGAGUGUUUAAAGCAGGCUCACGCUUGAAUACAUUAGCAUGGAAUAAUGAAAUAGGACGUUUGAUUCUAUUUUGUUGGUUUCUAGGAUCGACGUAAUGAUUAAUAGGGAUAGUUGGGGGCAUUAGUAUUCAAUUGUCAGAGGUGAAAUUCUUGGAUUUAUUGAAGACUAACUACUGCGAAAGCAUUUGCCAAGGAUGUUUUCAUUAAUCAAGAACGAAAGUUAGGGGAUCGAAGACGAUCAGAUACCGUCGUAGUCUUAACCAUAAACUAUGCCGACUAGGGAUCGG